Molecule: long non-coding RNA, 439 nt
Organism: Podarcis raffonei (Aeolian wall lizard)
Lineage: Eukaryota; Metazoa; Chordata; Lepidosauria; Squamata; Lacertidae
Exons: 3
Source: RefSeq, a predicted model, not a curated record
UUUUGUCAUCCGGUGAUGCAGCAAUAAUUCUUGGAGAAUAUUAAAACUCAAGUUGAUUCUGGAGGCUGGAAGCCUGUCAGCCUCUGAUCUCUGUUUACUGCUGUUACAUACAGAAGAUUCGCUUUGAAGCAUUCAUUUAAGGGAGUGACUUAUGGUUCCUUUCCUUGACCUUAGCCCAAGUUUCAGAUCAAUAAAUUAGCAAUAGAAUGAAUGACCUUACCUCACAGGAUUGAUGUAGAAACAAUGAUGGAAGGCAAAUGGGCACAAAAGAUCCGGCAUUGAAGACAAGGAUAUUUCAAGGAUCAGGGUCUCUGAAUAAGAAGAAAUUUAAAUUGAUAUUUCAAGGAUCUGCUAUCCGAGAGAGGAAUUGAUUAUUUAAACUGAUCUGCUCCGAAGCCAAGAUAUUCAGGAGAAUAAAAUAUUUGCUUUUGCAUUUGAA